Molecule: ribosomal RNA, 492 nt
Filed under: uncultured bacterium
Lineage: Bacteria
Description: partial 16S ribosomal RNA
Rfam family: Bacterial small subunit ribosomal RNA
Source: RNAcentral
AGUGAACGCUGGCGGUAGGCCUAACACAUGCAAGUCGAACGGCAGCACAGUAAGAGCUUGCUCUUACGGGUGGCGAGUGGCGGACGGGUGAGGAAUACAUCGGAACCUACUUUUUCGUGGGGGAUAACGUAGGGAAACUUACGCUAAUACCGCAUACGACCUACGGGUGGAAGCAGGGGAUCUUCGGACCUUGCGCGAUUGAAUGAGCCGAUGUCGGAUUAGCUAGUUGGCGGGGUAAAGGCCCACCAAGGCGACGAUCCGUAGCUGGUCUGAGAGGAUGAUCAGCCACACUGGAACUGAGACACGGUCCAGACUCCUACGGGAGGCAGCAGUGGGGAAUAUUGGACAAUGGGCGCAAGCCUGAUCCAGCCAUACCGCGUGGGUGAAGAAGGCCUUCGGGUUGUAAAGCCCUUUUGUUGGGAAAGAAAAGCAGCAGGUUAAUACCCCGCUGUUCUGACGGUACCCAAAGAAUAAGCACCGGCUAACUUCGUG